This 90-nucleotide transfer RNA is filed under the name Candidatus Nanohalococcus occultus. RNAcentral's name for it is "Candidatus Nanohaloarchaeota archaeon SVXNc tRNA-Ser". It matches the Rfam family "tRNA". Rfam says of the family: Transfer RNA (tRNA) molecules are approximately 80 nucleotides in length. Their secondary structure includes four short double-helical elements and three loops (D, anti-codon, and T loops). Lineage: Archaea; Nanobdellati; Candidatus Nanohalarchaeota. The record is from RNAcentral.
GUCGGGGUCGCAUAGCCUGGUCCAUUGCGGUGGCUUGCUAAGCCAUUGGGGGUGUAUGCUCCCACGCGGGUUCAAAUCCCGCCCCUGACG